This 1372-nucleotide ribosomal RNA is filed under the name uncultured bacterium. RNAcentral describes it as "bacterial SSU rRNA". It matches the Rfam family "Bacterial small subunit ribosomal RNA", at positions 28 to 1381 of the family's 1533-position model. The record is from RNAcentral.
GAUGAACGCUGGCGGCGUGCCUAAUACAUGCAAGUCGAGCGAACGGACGAGGAGCUUGCUUCUCUGAUGUUAGCGGCGGACGGGUGAGUAACACGUGGAUAACCUACCUAUAAGACUGGGAUAACUUCGGGAAACCGUAGCUAAUACCGGAUAAUAUUUUGAACCGCAUGGUUCAAAAGUGAAAGACGGUCUUGCUGUCACUUAUAGAUGGAUCCGCGCUGCAUUAGCUAGUUGGUAAGGCAACGGCUUACCAAGGCAACGAUGCAUAGCCGACCUGAGAGGGUGAUCGGCCACACUGGAACUGAGACACGGUCCAGACUCCUACGGGAGGCAGCAGUAGGGAAUCUUCCGCAAUGGGCGAAAGCCUGACGGAGCAACGCCGCGUGAGUGAUGAAGGUCUUCGGAUCGUAAAACUCUGUUAUUAGGGAAGAACAUAUGUGUAAGUAACUGUGCACAUCUUGACGGUACCUAAUCAGAAAGCCACGGCUAACUACGUGCCAGCAGCCGCGGCAAUACGUAGGUGGCAAGCGUUAUCCGGAAUUAUUGGGCGUAAAGCGCGCGUAGGCGGUUUUUUAAGUCUGAUGUGAAAGCCCACGGCUCAACCGUGGAGGGUCAUUGGAAACUGGAAAACUUGAGUGCAGAAGAGGAAAGUGGAAUUCCAUGUGUAGCGGUGAAAUGCGCAGAGAUAUGGAGGAACACCAGUGGCGAAGGCGACUUUCUGGUCUGUAACUGACGCUGAUGUGCGAAAGCGUGGGGAUCAAACAGGAUUAGAUACCCUGGUAGUCCGCGCCGUAAACGAUGAGUGCUAAGUGUUAGGGGGUUUCCGCCCCUUAGUGCUGCAGCUAACGCAUUAAGCACUCCGCCUGGGGAGUACGACCGCAAGGUUGAAACUCAAAGGAAUUGACGGGGACCCGCACAAGCGGUGGAGCAUGUGGUUUAAUUCGAAGCAACGCGAAGAACCUUACCAAAUCUUGACAUCCUUUGACAACUCUAGAGAUAGAGCCUUCCCCUUCGGGGGACAAAGUGACAGGUGGUGCAUGGUUGUCGUCAGCUCGUGUCGUGAGAUGUUGGGUUAAGUCCCGCAACGAGCGCAACCCUUAAGCUUAGUUGCCAUCAUUAAGUUGGGCACUCUAAGUUGACUGCCGGUGACAAACCGGAGGAAGGUGGGGAUGACGUCAAAUCAUCAUGCCCCUUAUGAUUUGGGCUACACACGUGCUACAAUGGACAAUACAAAGGGCAGCGAAACCGCGAGGUCAAGCAAAUCCCAUAAAGUUGUUCUCAGUUCGGAUUGUAGUCUGCAACUCGACUACAUGAAGCUGGAAUCGCUAGUAAUCGUAGAUCAGCAUGCUACGGUGAAUACGUUCCCGGGUCU